Long non-coding RNA from Fukomys damarensis (Damara mole-rat), 170 nucleotides. RefSeq lists it as uncharacterized. The transcript has 3 exons. Lineage: Eukaryota; Metazoa; Chordata; Mammalia; Rodentia; Bathyergidae. The record is from RefSeq and is a predicted model, not a curated record.
GAACAGUUGAAGUCACCAGAUGCAGUGAAUGACACAAGCACGAGAUCAUAGCGAGUUCGUGUUGUCAUGUCUCUAAACUGUGAUCCCCAGAUGUACAAGCAAGUGGAAAAUUAUUUCAAACAUUGAGCUUUGCAAUACAGCUUUGAAUCAAGAAGUGCGAUGCAACCAGG